GGGGUUGUGGCUCAGAGGUAGAGUGCUUGCCUAGCAUGCAUGAGGUACUGGGUUCUAUUCUCAGCACCA
Ictidomys tridecemlineatus (thirteen-lined ground squirrel) is the source of this 69-nucleotide non-coding RNA. NCBI's taxonomy places the organism in Eukaryota, Metazoa, Chordata, Mammalia, Rodentia, Sciuridae. The record is from Rfam.